This 627-nucleotide ribosomal RNA is filed under the name Rhynchogastrema noutii. RNAcentral's name for it is "eukaryotic LSU rRNA". It matches the Rfam family "Eukaryotic large subunit ribosomal RNA", at positions 47 to 663 of the family's 3401-position model. Lineage: Eukaryota; Fungi; Basidiomycota; Tremellomycetes; Tremellales; Rhynchogastremaceae. The record is from RNAcentral.
UAAGCGGAGGAAAAGAAACUAACAAGGAUUCCCCUAGUAACGGCGAGUGAACCGGGAAGAGCUCAAAUUUGAAAUCUGGCGUCCUCAGGGCGUCCGAGUUGUAAUCUAUAGAGGCGUUUUCCGUGCCGGACCGUGUCCAAGUCCCUUGGAACAGGGUAUCAAAGAGGGUGACAAUCCCGUACUUGACACGAUGACCGGUGCUCUGUGAUACGUCUUCUACGAGUCGAGUUGUUUGGGAAUGCAGCUCAAAAUGGGUGGUGAGUUCCAUCUAAAGCUAAAUAUUGGCGAGAGACCGAUAGCGAACAAGUACCGUGAGGGAAAGAUGAAAAGCACUUUGGAAAGAGAGUUAAACAGUACGUGAAAUUGUUGAAAGGGAAACGAUUGAAGUCAGUCGUGACUGUUGGGCUCAGCCAGCUCUGCUGGUGUAUUCCCUUCAGUCGGGUCAACAUCAGUUUUGACCGGUGGAUAAUGGCAGCAGGAAUGUGGCACCCUCGGGUGUGUUAUAGCCUGUCGUCGCAUACAUCGGUUGAGACUGAGGAACGCAGCUCGCCUUUAUGGCCGGGGUUCGCCCACGUCCGAGCUUAGGAUGUUGACAUAAUGGCUUUAAACGACCCGUCUUGAAACACG